This 6375-nucleotide long non-coding RNA is filed under the name Sus scrofa (pig). RNAcentral describes it as "lncRNA (ENSSSCG00015078128.1)". Lineage: Eukaryota; Metazoa; Chordata; Mammalia; Artiodactyla; Suidae. The record is from RNAcentral.
GACCUGGGAUGGAAAAGGAUAGUACUGCUCAGCCUAUGGGCCUGUAAUGAGAAGAGAGUGGACCCAGAACCAACUUCUAGACCUGCCAAACAAGUAAGAGCAAACUUAUGUCAUGUGGGGCCAUAGAUGCUGGACAGAGGGUAGCACCCACUCCCUGUCAGCUAUACCAUAAUUAAGAUGGUAUCAAAAUGCCUUUCCUGAAUCCCUAAGAUAGGAUUUUCCAACAAUGUCGGGGUCACCCUCUGGGCACUACUUGUUAACUCUCUGGUUCAGAUCCUGUAUCUCUAAUCAGUGUCUUUAGUCAGUGGCAUCUUUUUCCAGUCCUUCUUUGUGUUCCUCUGUUCACUGUGGGUGCCACUACUAGAGACAUACUUUAUCAGAAUGUCAGAUUUCCAAACAGCCUUAUCUUGGCAUUUUCACAUCAAAGUGUUGAUCUGUCUUUUUAUCCUUUUGGAAAACCCUUGUAAUACCAGGAUGAAGCAGGAUGGACUGGACGGGAUUGCGAAAAACAAACUCCAAGGAUCCAGAUUGUGGCAGUGCUGCUAUUUUUCAGAGCCAGCGCAUGUCCUUUGGGGAUUACCUGGCAGCUCUUUGGAAACCAGUCUCUUUAAUCCUGCUGUGAUGCCAAGAGGUAGCCCGGCAAUUCAGACCUUGCUUUGCUCGGAGCCGCUUUCUUUUCUGGCCAGCACUGAUGCCUUACAUCGAAGCUGAUGUGACUCAGCACCAAGUUUGGGCACCAAGACGGUGUUUGUUAACUGGCAGCGCCAAAGAAGUCUCCUUUCCUUCCUCUAUAUAAAGAGACUUUGUUUCUGCGCAGUGGUUACUUUGUUGAAAAUUAAGAGUUUUGACAGUUGGGGUGGGGGAAGAGAGUGCUAAAUGCAUGAACUUUACCAAGGUGUGUUUAAGAACACUUCGAACCUUUAGUUUCAUAAAUACCUCUGCUUCCUCUGUUGCUUUAUUAGCAUGGGUUUUAUCCAGAAGGUGGCAUCACAGAACCUAAAUUUCACUCACCAAAGGGUAAGAGAAAUUUACAUCUCUUUGUGAUUAGAAAUUAAGGAUGUAACCUUUAGAUAGCAUGUUGACAUUUCAGAGACUUUUUAUUCAUUCCUGUAAUUGGUUAAAUUACUUUAAAGCUGUGGAAGAUGAGGUCAUGAUGGUUUUCUACCCAGUGGAAACCCGAGGCCUGAGGUAUUUAGAAAAACCCAAACCCAUGUUCCUUCACCAAGUGAUGUGAGCAAGACUGGUUUAUUUACUAAUCAGAAACAGUUGUGAAACUGAACAGUUACUGUGAUGCCUUCUUCCCCUUCCACAUGCACUUGUGCCCACUGCCCAUCAAGGUACUCUUGGGUGCCUUCAUUGGAAGGAGGGAUCGGGAAGGCCUAAAUGGAUGGUUUAAUGGGUAAAUCUGCUGAGUAUUGGCACUUAAAAAUAAGUCGCAAGGUUGAGGACUCUCAAACGGUGAUCCUCUAAUGGGUGACCUUCUCACAAUCAGGACUCUCAGGAAAACAGAAGAUGAUCCUCCUCGGAAUCUGAGCUAGGAUCUGGUUUGCUGCUUCUUUCCCAGGCGUUCAGUGCUAGGCCAGGCAUGUCACUUAGCCUCAUGAGGCAUGUACUCAGUGAAUGUCUGCUCACUGGUAGGAAUAUGAAUGCUUUAUAAAUUCUUGGUUUAAAGUAUUCCUUUGGGUAUAUACCCCAGGCGAGAUUGCUAGAUCAGAUGGUAGGUCUAUUUUUAGUUUUGGGGAGGGACCUUCAUACUGUUUUUGACAGUGGCUGUACCAGUUUCCAUGGGAGAAUACAUCCUGAACUAAAUGAGUUUCAUGACUGCUUUUCCGGCCGCCUUUGAUUGUCUGUUCUUUUCAGGAGAAGAGCUAUAGAAAUUAGGGGCUGAGACCGGGAAGAGCUUCCCUGAUCAGGAAAGAUGCAACGACCGGGCCUUCCCUGGGCUGCCUAAAGCCCANGGGGGCUGGGGCUGGGGCUGGGGCUGGGGCUGGGAAGGGUAGCCCUCUGGAGCAAGGCUGUCAGAGCAGGGGGAGAAAGCAGACUGCUGGAGGGCCUGGGCCCUCCGUGUGAAAGGGGUCUUGGACUGUGUGACUGCAGGCCAGGCCCCUGCCCGCUUCCCAACCCCUAGUCCUGCCUGGGGUGGGCGGAGCACGGGGCCCAUCAUCGGGGGUGACCUGAGAAUCGGUGGCCUUCUGGGAAAGGGGAGGCUGUUACCAUGGAGGCGUUUCCCCAUCUUCCAGGAGUCCCAGGCAUUUGGGGCUUUGCUGCUGGGGAAGGUCUUGGUGUUUCUGCCUCGUGCUGUGUGGUGCCUUGGCCUGUGACAAGUGGCUCAGGAAAGGGGGCUCUUCACCCACCGGUCUUGUGGCCUAGACCAGGACUCUGGGGCCGUCUCAUGGGAGGCCCAUGCUGACGUUGGUUCUUUCUUGUGAAUAGUCAGGCCUGGUUGCGUGGACGGCUCCACUCUGUGAGCCGAAUUGCACAGAGAGCCUGGCGAAGGUGCGUCGCUGUGCGGGGGUGCUCUUCUGGGUCCCUGUCCAGACGCCCCUUUCCACUCCGUGGCUCAGAUACCCUGCCAGGGGCCUGCAGGAGGCACAUAGGGGCGAUGGAGCAUCUGGGCUGUGGGAGAUGUUGGGUCUAGGGCAGAAGCAGAGCGUGGCCUGUGAUCAGGACUCCUUGGUGACAGGAAGGAGCUGAGCAGAAGAGUGUCCACUGUGCAUAGCAGUGGCUGGAGGGGAUCCUGAGGAACCACACCUGCGCGUGUGGGGAUGUGGCUGGAGCUUCAUCAGAGCAUUUCCAUGUCGCGCUCCGCCCUCUCCUGCUGACUCCUCUGCAUGUUAGUUGGAAGCAAGAGGUCACAUGGGUGCUGUCCGUGUGCAGGAGCUGAAGUGGGGACGUGUGGGAAGCCCCCCUGUUCUGCUUGCCGAAGAGGGCCUAUGCCCCCCGGCUGUCGCUGUUCCUUCUGUGUGUAUCUGCUGGGAGGCCUUGAUGCCUGCUGGUCUAGCCCCUGGGCCGUUUUGGUCUUGCUGUCGGGGGAGAUGAGGUUGCAUCAAGGGGCCUUUGUCUGCCCUCCCAAGACAGUGGGGGGUUUGUGUGGCAUGUGUGGGACUGUGUGUGGUCCUGCGCCCUUGGGGGUGGCGGGAGGAUCCAGGAGAUGAGUCUGGGGCAGGGAGGCUGCUCUGGUUUUCUUAUCUCAAGCUUCUGAUUAGCUUCGAUUCCUGAAACACGGAGCCACAGCCUAGGGAGAAAUAAAGUGGUAAUGAGAAUAUAAGGGGGGGCUGCCGGUGGGCAGGACCCAAGGCUUUGGGUGUGCAAGGUGAGGGGGCAUUGUGGCUUCAGGGCUGUUUCUCCUGUCCCCUUUCUUUCUUUCUUUUUUUUUUUUGUCUUUUGUCUUUUUGUUGUUGUUGUUGUUUUUGCUAUUUCUUGGGCCGCUCCCGCGGCAUAUGGAGGUUCCCAGGCUAGGGGUUGAAUUGGAGCUGUAGCCACCGGCCUACGCCAGAGCCACAGCAACGCGUGAUCCCAGCCGCGUCUGCAACCUACACCACAGCUCACGGCAACGCCGGAUCGUCAACCCACUGAGCAAGGGCAGGGACCGAACCCGCAACCUCAUGGUUCCUAGUCGGAUUCGUUAACCACUGUGCCACGACGGGAACUCCUCCUGUCCCCUUUCUUCAUUCUCCCACACACCUUUGGGUCAGUAUAUUUGGGGGACAGAAGAUAACCAUGGGCACUGAUGAAUAUGCUAUGAAAAAAUGUGGCUCUCUUGUAAAUUUGAGACAUUUCUUACGGAACAGGGUUAUUCUCCAUUUUCCAAGUGAAUCGUGCUCUGUCUGCAGAGGAUGACUUUGCUGUCUCAUCCUUAUUCUGUAUUGCCGCAGGCCUGUGAAGGAUGGCCACUGUGACAGGGGAGCCCUUCAUCCUGCUAGACUUUUGCACAGUCUAUAAUCUGAGGGAGUUCUGAGAAGGAACUGCUGUUGCUUAUGCUGUUUUUCUCCGGACAUAUUUCCCUCCCUUUUCCUGUAGCUUUAUGGACUCUUAGGCGCUGCUUUAUGGUGUCCAUUUCCUCCUGUUCUUUGCGAGGGUCUAGGUGAGUUUCUGAUUUCAGCUCCUCAAGUUGUUCCCCCUUUACCUAGUUCUCACUUAUUGCCAGGAGUUUGGGUGCCUGGUCCUUAAAGGGACAUUCUGGGUUGUCACAUUACCAAAAAGCUUACUUAGCUUCAAGAAAAAGAUUUGCAUACAUUGCAAAGAGGCAGAGAAAGAGCUGAUAAGUUUUCCAAGGUGAAUGUUUUAAGGGAAAAGAGAGGCCGUUUCCCUUUUUUCAACAGGGAUUCUUUAACUUUUCUUAUUUUUUUGCCCUUACAACAUGCUCCCAUGAGACACCUGGUCUCCUGGGUAUUGGCACCCUGCUCCCAGUUGCUGAUUCCGGAGCCCUGCCAAAGUCAGGCCUGUGCAGAGGCCUUCCUCAGGAGGAGCUCGUGCCAAAAGCACCUGAAGGACAAGUGAUCAGUAUGCGUGACUGCUCAUCCUCUGGGCUGCUUUUACCCGUGCCUCUGUCCUCAGGGGGAGUUCUCUGGGAUCUCUAGGAUCAAUUGGAAUGAGGAUUAAAACUACAGACCUUGUUUUGAGAGGGUGUAAACUGAUACCCUGAUGUCACUGGUGUGUUGGCAGGUGGAGCUGGGCUUUCCCUCUCCUAUCCUCCCUUUCUUGAGUCUCCAGAGGAGCACCUGGCAGAGAUGUCAUCUCUGUGUCUUGGGAUACAUGGGACCUGAUAGAAUAUGUGGUAGGAGGCGAGGACUCAGAUCCCACGUUGUGAAUGUUUAGUGUACAGCCCUGUCAAACAGGGUGGAAAGAGUGUGCAAAAUGUGUGCCCUCCUAUGUAGCUUGAAUGAUCUCUGAUCCCUCUGGAUUUGAAUUUGCCCUCGCAGCCCUUCAGCUGACACAAUAAAGGGAUUACUGAGUGUCGCCAGUCAGGCCCCUUCACAGUCUAGAUUUGGGUUGGCCUUCUCAGCUUCCCUUCCCGCUUCUUACUCAUGUGCAGGCCUACUGUACUGCUUCAUAUCAAGUUUGGAUAAGAACAGCAGUGGGCUCUGUUGAAUGAAUCCUAAGGAGAUGCUCUGAUUUGCUCAGUCUGCCCCAGCAGUCAGACAUAGCAGCCUUCCUGAAUGCUGAAAGGCCUGUCGUAGACUCGACUCUAGUGAUUAUAGGUUGUACAGUCAGGGUACUGAGCUACGGGAUGUAGGAUGUAGUUAAAGCUGGGAACCAAGACGUGCGUGUCUCCUCCUGAGCCCAGAGUUUGAAGUAUUGUGUAUAGAAAAAUGUGCUGAGAGUAAAUCUUAUUCUACCUUCUGUCAAAAAAUAAUAAUAUGAAUUAGCGAGGGUGGAAUGAAACUUAACAGGGGUUGGAUAUGUUUAAGGCAUAGAUUAUGAUGAUGGUUCGUGGAGGUAUACUUAUCUCCAGACUCAUUAAGUUGUAUGUAUUAAGUAUGUGCAGCUUUCUGUAUGUCAGUCAUACCUUCAUAACCUCAAUAAAGUGGUUUAAAAAUAAUAACAAAAAAGACCCUCUCGUGGUUACAGAUGUAUACUCCCCCUCAAGUGUCUUGAGGUUUUAGAACUGAAAGGGAAGAAUGCUUCUACACUGGGAAAUGGGUAAUGCUAUUUACUACUCUGUAUUAUUGUUUUGCCUUGGUUUUUCUAUGUAUGCAUAGCAUUUGCAUUGGCACAUAUAAGGUUAACCUUUAGUCCAUAGGAUUUUCAAUUUUGUAGAAUCACAGCACUUCUGCGAAAGCUGUGAACUUCACCUGGAGGACUUCAGCUCAAGGAGUGGCCUGUGACAUCAGCUAUUUGUCAUUUGACCAGAAAUUGACUUUGGGUCCUGUGCCUUUGGGAAUGGCUUGGACUUUGGGUUGGUUUUGUUUCUUAUAAUAUGUGCUUUUGUGCUUACCUGAGAAAUCUUUUAAAAUAUUAUAUGGGGACACGUCAAGGUGUAUAUGUACUGUAUCUGUAUCCUAUAGGGUGGAAGGUAGUGUCUCAGGCUGGUUGGUCUCUGCAGCAGGCCUCUUUUCUCUGAGGUCUUCCCACCACCUUCUGUUUUCUGUGUGACUGAGUUCCUUGGCCUUAGCUACUCAGUUUGAUACUUUUCAUCUUGUCCUAGUUGAGCAAACCAUGCUUCUGUUAUAUUUAGAGUUUGGGACUAGAUGCCAAGAAUGGGUGCUAGGCUAGCCUGCAAAGGCUCAUUAAUAACCUUUCACUGCAGAAAAUAUCAUGUAAAAGACAUAUUGUGGGGUUUCCCUGGGUUAUCCUCAUUUCUGUGUCUUUAGAAUGUAUUUGCUGCUUAAGCUUCUUGUAUUUUGUAAAAUACUUGUGUUCUUCCAAUAAAAU